CCUACGGGAGGCUGCAGUGAGGAAUAUUGGUCAAUGGGCGAGAUCCUGAACCAGCCAAGCAGCGUGCGGGAUGAAGGCCCUAUGGGUUGUAAACCGCUUUUGCCGGGGGACAACACCCGCCACGUGUCGCGGUCUGCAGGUAUCCGGCGAAAAAGCGUCGGCUAACUCCGUGCCAGCAGCCGCGGUAAUACGGAGGCUCCGAGCGUUAUCCGGAUUCAUUGGGUUUAAAGGGAGCGUAGGCGGGCGGUUAAGUCAGCGGUAAAAUUGCGGGGCUCAACCCCGUCCAGCCGUUGAAACUGGACGCCUUGAGUUGGCGACAGGCACGCGGAAUGCGUGGUGUAGCGGUGAAAUGCAUAGAUAUCGCGAAGAACCCCGAUUGCGAAGGCAGCGUACCGGCGCCCGACUGACGCUGAGGCACGAAAGUGCGGGGAUCGAACAGGAUUAGAUACCCGUGUAGUC
Molecule: ribosomal RNA, 459 nt
Filed under: uncultured bacterium
Lineage: Bacteria
Description: partial 16S ribosomal RNA
Rfam family: Bacterial small subunit ribosomal RNA
Source: RNAcentral